This 160-nucleotide ribosomal RNA is filed under the name Pestalotiopsis sp. CBMAI1349. Its description in RNAcentral is "5.8S ribosomal RNA". The stretch from base 62 to 160 matches the Rfam family "5.8S ribosomal RNA", at positions 1 to 99 of the family's 154-position model. Rfam says of the family: 5.8S ribosomal RNA (5.8S rRNA) is a component of the large subunit of the eukaryotic ribosome. It is transcribed by RNA polymerase I as part of the 45S precursor that also contains 18S and 28S rRNA. Functionally, it is thought that 5.8S rRNA may be involved in ribosome translocation. The record is from RNAcentral. Lineage: Eukaryota; Fungi; Ascomycota; Sordariomycetes; Amphisphaeriales; Sporocadaceae.
CGGUGGACCAUUAAACUCUUGUUAUUUUAUGUAAUCUGAGCGUCUUAUUUUAAUAAGUCAAAACUUUCAACAACGGAUCUCUUGGUUCUGGCAUCGAUGAAGAACGCAGCGAAAUGCGAUAAGUAAUGUGAAUUGCAGAAUUCAGUGAAUCAUCGAAUCU